ACGCUCGACACCUACGGGAGGCAGCAGUGAGGGAUAUUGGUCAAUGGGGGAAACCCUGAACCAGCAACGCCGCGUGAGGGAUGACGGCCUUGGUUGUAACCUCUGUCCUCUGUGAGAUAAUGACGGUAGCAGAGGAGGAAGCUCCGGCUAACUACGUGCCAGCAGCCGUGGUAAUCUGAGCGGGCUGGCAAGGC
Molecule: ribosomal RNA, 194 nt
Filed under: uncultured bacterium
Lineage: Bacteria
Description: partial 16S ribosomal RNA
Rfam family: Bacterial small subunit ribosomal RNA
Source: RNAcentral